GAGGCCACGGGGACAGCAAACCCUCGCAGCCCUGUUGGGACUCGCAGCCCCCGCGGGUCCCGUGGACCAGCCUGCUCUCUGGGGCGUCUUGGUUGGCUUGCACAGGGUGCUGGCGCCAGCAGCCACCACCUAUCUUCAGAGCACACACAGGGUUCUGGGGCCUGCACCGAGGAAUGACAGGCUCAGAAGGCAGCUUGUUUAGGGCAGCGCUGGGCCGGAGUCCGCGUCUGACACUGGGCCUGGACUUUCUCACUCGGGGACCUGGGCCUCGGGGUGUUGUCAAAACAAAAAGGAACCAGAUGGAGGAACAGCCUGUGGCCGGCUCACAAGCCGAGCAGAGCCAGGGCCACCGCCCAUCCAUACCACAAUGGCCAGAGGCAGGGCUGCCUCACAUUCAGAGUCCAGUGCCGGUGUCUGAAUCUGUAACCAUGGCAACGAUGCUAGCUGGAAAGGGAGUGGACACCUGGGCACUGCUGGGUGCUGCUGGCCACUGGACUUGUACAUGUGAGGCUUCAGGCCCAGCUGAGGUCAUCAGGCUGAUGCACCCUCCCUGGCAUUCUGCGCAGAAGUGCUGGGGCCACAAGCCCACCCGAGAGCCAGCUGCCCGUGGACAGACAGGGCAUUCAAGGGAAGGGCCACCAAGGCAGGGGACAGAGAAGCAGCCAGGACGGGACAGCGUGGCUGGUGGUGCCCACAGGCCAGCCAGGGAGAGACUCUGAUUCUGGAGGCCACGUUGGCGGCCAAGCCUUAUGGGGGGAGGCUGAGCACGGGCCCCGAGGCAGGGUGGCUUGCUCCACCUGCAGGCCACUUAUACACUCAGACUUGGAGGUGGCUGGUGAG
Molecule: long non-coding RNA, 840 nt
Filed under: Marmota monax (woodchuck)
Lineage: Eukaryota; Metazoa; Chordata; Mammalia; Rodentia; Sciuridae
Source: RNAcentral